GACGAACGCUGGCGGCGUGCUUAACACAUGCAAGUCGAACGGUAGGCCCCUUCGGGGGUACCCGAGUGGCGAACGGGUGAGUAACACGUGAGCAACCUGCCCUUGACUCUGGAAUAACAGUUGGAAACAGUUGCUAAUACUGGAUAUUCAUCGUCUCCUUCCUGGGGGGUGGUGGAAAGCUCCGGCGGUCAGGGAUGGGCUCGCGGCCUAUCAGCUUGUUGGUGAGGUAAUGGCUCACCAAGGCUUCGACGGGUGGCCGGCCUGAGAGGGCGACCGGCCACACUGGGACUGAGAUACGGCCCAGACUCCUACGGGAGGCAGCAGUGGGGAAUAUUGCACAAUGGGCGCAAGCCUGAUGCAGCAACGCCGCGUGCGGGAUGACGGCCUUCGGGUUGUAAACCGCUUUCAGUAGGGACGAAGGGUGACUGACGGUACCUACAGAAGAAGGACCGGCUAACUACGUG
Molecule: ribosomal RNA, 464 nt
Filed under: uncultured bacterium
Lineage: Bacteria
Description: partial 16S ribosomal RNA
Rfam family: Bacterial small subunit ribosomal RNA
Source: RNAcentral